Molecule: long non-coding RNA, 1574 nt
Organism: Dreissena polymorpha
Lineage: Eukaryota; Metazoa; Mollusca; Bivalvia; Myida; Dreissenidae
Exons: 3
Source: RefSeq, a predicted model, not a curated record
UGUCGGACGUGGUGUUUUUUAACAGUAAACUAUGUGUUAAAAACGUAUUUUGGAGUGUGUGUUUAUCAUGCAUAAAUGUAUAUUUCGAUAGGAAUACAAUAAAAUAGUGUGGUUUAAACUAAGUUUCGAUAAAGACAUGGUCAUGGACGAUAGAAGUGGAAGUGCAUUUCGUUUAAACGUUUUUGUUAUAAACAUCGGAUUGAAGUUGUCAACUUAAUAGUUAUAAAAAUUGGAUUAACGAUGGCAUUAAUUAAGAUCACGUGUCUGCGAAUAAAGACUCCGAAGAAAGCGUGAAAUCUUUCCUGAAGUCACUGACAAGUUCGCUGCGAGACGGAGGUUCCCUUUAUGCCGACGGUAUGACUAGAGCCUUCUCCGGCGCCAUUUCCGGCGGCGGCAGUGGAUCGGAUACGAUUACUCUCAAUGCAGCGAAUCGAAUAAUUGAGAACAUUAUGGCCAGUUGCGAUACCAAUAAACUUCUCGUGGAAACCCUCGAGAAGUUGAUCACAUUCCGAGACGUCGUGAAAAAUAGACAACAGCGCAAUGGAAGUCGGGCGAACGCGGAACUGAAUUCAGAACGAGUCGGCAUGGAAAAUGAACAGUCACAAGCAAAAGGCCAAAAAUCAGAACCGGCUGUUGCUGAGCGCGACUUCCAUAACAAAAACUGCUUCAAGCUUGGGCAGAUCUGCGGCUUCUAACGAGACUCCUGCUCCGCGCGCGAUACAAAAUGCUACUCAAACGCACCGCUGUGCUGCAUCGGGCUUUCCGGCGGCGGAAAUUUCCUCCUAAGUGACAGUUACGGGAACUGCGUGCCGAUCUACGACUCCUACACGUGCGAAGAGGAUGCAGAUGAUGUACAAAGAUGGGCAGCGUUAAGCGGCCGUUGCACCGGACAUGACACAAUUUAUAGGUGUAGGCGCCUGCUAGCGCGGGCUGUUUUGUUUUUAUCAUAAGCUCGUUUAACAACGUUGUUCUUUGCGUGCGUUAGUUUUUUCGGGGAUAUUUCAAGAAGAAUACUGUAUAUGAUUUGUGAUCACUAGCUAUUUAAUGUAGAAUGUUCAUUAUGAUUUUGUUGUUUGAACUAUUAUUAAAUGAGUGCCUUAGUAUUUAUCUUACUACACAUACGCAGGAUGCAUAGGUUCAGUACAAUCGUCAUUAUUCUGUGACAUCGUGAUUACUCGUGUGACAUCGUGAUUACUCGUGUGACAUCGUGAUUACUCGUGUGACACCGUGAUUACUUAUGCGACAUGGUGAUUACUCGUGUGAAUCGUGAUUUCUCGUUCUACAUCGUGAUUACUCUUGUGAAAUCGUGAUUAUUCUGUGUCAUGAAUUUUCAUUAAUUUCGUGGGUUAACCGAUUUUCAAUUUGAAGACCACAACGAACAAUUAGUUCUCGUUAGGUUUUAUUGUUUGUUUUGAUUGGGGGGGGGGGGGGCACAGUUCAAUGAAUUUACGAGUCCACAAAUUUGUAAGUUUUCCAUCCACGAGUUUUAUUUAUAAUUUGAUUUUUAUUUACUUUGCUUUAACGCUCUGCACGAUUUAGAAACCUCUCAUUUAACAAAAGUGUAGAAAAAACAA